RNAcentral lists this ribosomal RNA (253 nucleotides) under uncultured bacterium. Its description in RNAcentral is "partial 16S ribosomal RNA". It matches the Rfam family "Bacterial small subunit ribosomal RNA", at positions 524 to 776 of the family's 1533-position model. The record is from RNAcentral.
UACGGAGGGUGCGAGCGUUGUCCGGAAUCACUGGGCGUAAAGGGCGCGUAGGCGGCCUGGUAAGUAGGGGGUGAAAUCCUGCGGCUUAACCGCAGGGCUGCCUUCUAAACUGUCAGGCUCGAGGACAGUAGAGGCAGGUGGAAUUCCCGGUGUAGCGGUGGAAUGCGUAGAGAUCGGGAAGAACAUCAGUGGCGAAGGCGGCCUGCUGGGCUGUUGCUGACGCUGAGGCGCGAAAGCGUGGGGAGCAAACAGG